This 240-nucleotide unclassified non-coding RNA is filed under the name soil metagenome. Its description in RNAcentral is "partial contains 5.8S ribosomal RNA, internal transcribed spacer 2, and large subunit ribosomal RNA". The record is from RNAcentral.
AACCAUAGAAACCUGCGGAGUACCUGCGGAGGGAUCAUUAUUGGAAAACCAAAACUUACCCAAGUUGCAGGAGGGGAGGAAGUGAGUGGAUGGAAUUUUCUGUCCACUCUCUUUCUCUUCUUCUGCUUCUUCAAACAAACGAUCACAACUAUAUUGAGAGAUUGAAUUGAAUUGAAUUGGAUUGGAUGAUUUGGUGAUGGGGGAAAGAAGGAGACAAGUGCAGCGCAGAUAGACAGAAAU